UUCCGGUUGAUCCUGCCGGACCCGACUGCUAUCAGAGUGGGACUAAGCCAUGCGAGUCAACGCCGUAAGGCGUGGCAUACGGCUCAGUAACACGUAGUCAACAUGCCCAAAGGACGUGGAUAACCUCGGGAAACUGAGGAUAAACCGCGAUAGGCCAAGGUUUCUGGAAUGAGCCAUGGCCGAAAUCUAUACGGCCUUUGGAUUGGACUGCGGCCGAUCAGGCUGUUGGUGAGGUAAUGGCCCACCAAACCUGUAACCGGUACGGGCUUUGAGAGAAGGAGCCCGGAGAUGGGCACUGAGACAAGGGCCCAGGCCCUAUGGGGCGCAGCAGGCGCGAAACCUCUGCAAUAGGCGAAAGCUUGACAGGGUUACUCUGAGUGAUGCCCGCUAAGGGUAUCUUUUGGCACCUCUAAAAU
Molecule: ribosomal RNA, 416 nt
Filed under: uncultured archaeon
Lineage: Archaea
Description: bacterial SSU rRNA
Rfam family: Archaeal small subunit ribosomal RNA
Source: RNAcentral